AAGUCGAACGGUGAACACGGAGCUUGCUCUGUGGGAUCAGUGGCGAACGGGUGAGUAACACGUGAGCAACCUGCCCCUGACUCUGGGAUAAGCGCUGGAAACGGCGUCUAAUACUGGAUAUGUGACGUGACCGCAUGGUCUGCGUCUGGAAAGAAUUUCGGUUGGGGAUGGGCUCGCGGCCUAUCAGCUUGUUGGUGAGGUAAUGGCUCACCAAGGCGUCGACGGGUAGCCGGCCUGAGAGGGUGACCGGCCACACUGGGACUGAGACACGGCCCAGACUCCUACGGGAGGCAGCAGUGGGGAAUAUUGCACAAUGGGCGCAAGCCUGAUGCAGCAACGCCGCGUGAGGGACGACGGCCUUCGGGUUGUAAACCUCUUUUAGCAGGGAAGAAGCGAAAGUGACGGUACCUGCAGAAAAAGCGCCGGCUAACUACGUGCCAGCAGCCGCGGUAAUAGGUAGGGCGCAAGCGUUAUCCGGAAUUAUUGGGCGUAAAGAGCUCGUAGGCGGUUUGUCGCGUCUGCUGUGAAAUCCGGAGGCUCAACCUCCGGCCUGCAGUGGGUACGGGCAGACUAGAGUGCGGUAGGGGAGAUUGGAAUUCCUGGUGUAGCGGUGGAAUGCGCAGAUAUCAGGAGGAACACCGAUGGCGAAGGCAGAUCUCUGGGCCGUAACUGACGCUGAGGAGCGAAAGGGUGGGGAGCAAACAGGCUUAGAUACCCUGGUAGUCCACCCCGUAAACGUUGGGAACUAGUUGUGGGGUCCAUUCCACGGAUUCCGUGACGCAGCUAACGCAUUAAGUUCCCCGCCUGGGGAGUACGGCCGCAAGGCUAAAACUCAAAGGA
RNAcentral lists this ribosomal RNA (840 nucleotides) under uncultured bacterium. RNAcentral describes it as "bacterial SSU rRNA". It matches the Rfam family "Bacterial small subunit ribosomal RNA", at positions 59 to 908 of the family's 1533-position model. The record is from RNAcentral.